RNAcentral lists this ribosomal RNA (914 nucleotides) under uncultured bacterium. Its description in RNAcentral is "bacterial SSU rRNA". It matches the Rfam family "Bacterial small subunit ribosomal RNA", at positions 8 to 916 of the family's 1533-position model. The record is from RNAcentral.
AGAGUUUGAUCCUGGCUCAGGAUGAACGCUAGCGGGAGGCUUAACACAUGCAAGUCGAGGGGCAGCGCGAAGUAGCGAUAUUUUGGCGGCGACCGGCGCACGGGUGAGUAACGCGUAUGCAACCUACCCCGUAUAGGGGGAUAACCCGGGGAAAUCCGGACUAAUACCCCAUGAUGACCGAUACGGGCAUCCGUUUCGGUCCAAAGCGGCGACGCGGUACGGGACGGGCAUGCGUAACAUUAGCUAGUUGGUGGGGCGACGGCCCACCAAGGCGACGAUGUUUAGGGGACCUGAGAGGGUGGACCCCCACACUGGUACUGAGACACGGACCAGACUCCUACGGGAGGCAGCAGUGAGGAAUAUUGGUCAAUGGGCGAGAGCCUGAACCAGCCAUCCCGCGUGGAGGAAGACGGCGCUAAGCGUUGUAAACUUCUUUUCAAGGGGAAGAAUUGUCCCGACGUGUCGGGUCUUGCCGGUACCCUUGGAACAAGCAUCGGCUAACUCCGUGCCAACAGCCGCGGUAAUACGGAGGAUGCGAGCGUUAUCCGGAUUUAUUGGGUUUAAAGGGUGCGUAGGCGGGUCGAUAAGUCAGCGGUGAAAACCCAUGGCUCAACCAUGGAAUUGCCGUUGAAACUGUUGGUCUUGAAUAUGGUCAGGGUAGGCGGAAUGCGUAAUGUAGCGGUGAAAUGCUUAGAUAUUACGCAGAACACCGAUCGCGAAGGCAGCUUGCUGGGCCAGUAUUGACGCUGAGGCACGAAAGCGUGGGUAGCGAACAGGAUUAGAUACCCUGGUAGUCCACGCCGUAAACUAUGAUCACUCGCUGUUGGCGACACACUGUCAGCGGCCAAGCGAAAGCGUUAAGUGAUCCACCUGGGGAGUACGGCCGCAAGGCUGAAACUCAAAUGAAUUGACGG